AUUGAACGCUGGCGGCAGGCCUAACACAUGCAAGUCGAGCGAGCGGCGGACGGGUGAGUAAUGUAUGGGGACUGCCCGAUAGAGGGGGAUAACUACUGGAAACGGGGGCUAAUACCGCAUAUUGUCGGAUAACCCAUAUGGGAUUAGCUAGUAGGUAAGGUAAUGGCUUACCUAGGCGACGAUCCCUAGCGGGUCUGAGAGGGUGAUCAGCAACACUGGGACUGAGACACGGCCCAGACUCCUACGGAGGCAGCAGUGGGGAAUAUUGCACAAUGGGCGAAAGCCUGACGCAGCAAUGCCGCGUGUGUGAAGAAGGCCCUAGGGUUGUAAAGUACUUUCAGUCGGGAGGCGUUACCGACAGAGGAAGCACCGGCUAACUCCGUGCCAGCAGCCGCGGUAAUAC
This 403-nucleotide ribosomal RNA is filed under the name uncultured bacterium. RNAcentral describes it as "partial 16S ribosomal RNA". It matches the Rfam family "Bacterial small subunit ribosomal RNA", at positions 30 to 526 of the family's 1533-position model. The record is from RNAcentral.